This is a long non-coding RNA of Lynx canadensis (Canada lynx), 891 nucleotides long. RefSeq lists it as uncharacterized. Lineage: Eukaryota; Metazoa; Chordata; Mammalia; Carnivora; Felidae. The transcript has 6 exons. The record is from RefSeq and is a predicted model, not a curated record.
UGAAGGUGUGUGAGAGCGCCCGAGAUGGCAGAACAAGAGCUACAGAUGUCUGGGCUCUGGACAGUUUUUCGUCCCUGUGGAGACUACCAUUUACCCCUCUUUGCAAGGUACAGCUGCAUCUGGAAUCAAAUCACGAUGGAUUGAUGUGGAAGAUUUGGGAAUUGGGCAGAUUGCAUCAGAAAAACCUCAAGAUUCUUCAUGCUGGCCUACGGAGUCCCUAACUAAGCCAGAAGCGUUGUGGAAUGCUGCCGAUCGGGUCUGGGUGUCCCCGACUCCCACCUCACAUUGCCCGAGACGACAUCUUUGACACGCCUAGAGCUCCAAUUUGGAUCUUCUAAGCUCAGUUUGGUUCAGAGCCCAGUGCCCUUGUUCUCCUUCAGGACGCGGAGGGAGAAGAGGGUCCCUAAUGCCAUCUGGACCGUCGUGGAGAAUCACUCUCAUGUGGCUUCCAUCCAGGCAGUGCCUCCAGGGCCAGGCCUUCACAACCCCGAACCACCUGUAUCCACCCUAUUCAGGCUACAAGCUCUGUGUGCACAGGAUGUGCAGUAGGCACUCAGGAAAUGUCCACUGAAUGAAUGAGUCUGAUCAACUCUGGAGGCAGUAGCAGAAGCACCGGCACAGCAGAGUCUGGUGGAGGACAGGUGAGGCAGAGGACGGGCUAAGUUGGCACGCUGGCUGGGCACCACAGUUAGGUAUUUGCACCCUGGUCUAGUAGCUUUGGGGCAGGAUCCACUUAGAGUCGUGUCCUAGACAUUUUCCGGACAGAAAAAUUUUGAGCUCAUUUUGUAACGUCUGGAUUAAUGAUCUGGUAAUACUUUUUCUGGCUUUUCAAUAAAUUGUGAAGUGAGUCAAGAAUGACAUUUCUUGAAAGCUCCUUCUCAAUAAUACACC